CUGGGUGUAGCGCAGUUUGGUAGCGCACAAGACUGGGGGUCUUGGGGUCGCAGGUUCAAGUCCUGUCACCCAGACCA
This 77-nucleotide transfer RNA is filed under the name Corallococcus sp. RNAcentral's name for it is "tRNA-Pro". It matches the Rfam family "tRNA". Rfam says of the family: Transfer RNA (tRNA) molecules are approximately 80 nucleotides in length. RNAcentral also lists the same sequence under 1 other name. Lineage: Bacteria; Pseudomonadati; Myxococcota; Myxococcia; Myxococcales; Myxococcaceae. The record is from RNAcentral.